ACACCGAUGGUGAAAUGGUUAUCAUGCUUGCCUUCCAGUAUGGCUUUCAACAGGCUACCACUAUUAGCAAGCGGUAGGGGUUCGAUUCCCCUUCGGUGUA
RNAcentral lists this transfer RNA (100 nucleotides) under Agrocybe pediades. It matches the Rfam family "tRNA". From Rfam's summary of the family: Transfer RNA (tRNA) molecules are approximately 80 nucleotides in length. Their secondary structure includes four short double-helical elements and three loops (D, anti-codon, and T loops). The record is from Rfam by way of RNAcentral. Lineage: Eukaryota; Fungi; Basidiomycota; Agaricomycetes; Agaricales; Agrocybaceae.